CUACCAUAGAGUUGCUGCAGGCCAUCGCGGUCAUCCUGAGACAGGCGGUACUUGUCAGGGUCGCCCACCGGACCCUGGUAGAAGGGCCUCAUAAUGGAGUUGGGGGCUGAGGAGUGGCCCAGGCCCAGGGCGUGGCCAAACUCAUGGACAGCCACGGCAAACAGCUCAGGCGCUCAGGACUGCCAGGACCCAGAGGAUUCACACGCCAGCCCCGGCUGAAGCCCAGCUCCUCAUCAACCGGUGAGCCGCCUGCCAGCUCCUGCUCCAGCUGCUGAGAGGCCUGAAGAGACCAAGACAGAGACACAGCCCCGCAGCACCACAGGGAGGCCCCAGUUACCCCAUGCGGAUGAGUUUCAUGGCCAUCUCUAACUAAGGACAGGACAUCGAUGUCAUCUGUAACUUCCGGUGCACUGGGGCACACAGCUGCAUCUCCCCAUGCUCACCUCCUGCCUCUUGCUCUGCCCAGUGUGAGGACUCAGCCUGGAUCACCU
Long non-coding RNA from Homo sapiens (human), 491 nucleotides. Ensembl annotates it as MMP25 antisense RNA 1. Its record names the gene MMP25-AS1. The record is from Ensembl. NCBI's taxonomy places the organism in Eukaryota, Metazoa, Chordata, Mammalia, Primates, Hominidae.